UACUAGCGGCUGUGACAAUUGUAGUUGGAAAAUGAUGAAAUCACCCUACUAUUCAGUCCUAAGUAGUGGUAAUGUUUUUCCUUUCCUAUUUUUUUUAUUUCUGUUUACAUGUAUGGUAGCAAUAAAAUAAUUCCAGUUGAAUGUGUUGAAAACAGAAGAACAUAAGAAGACUGGAUUUAGAUCUGGGGACCGGGCCGGUCAGUUCAUAGCUACAUGAGGACCAGCAUUGUUAUGCAUCAGAAGGAAGCAGGGCACACUGCGCCAGCAUUAACCAUGACCAAACCAGUCAUGCUGGAAGAUGGUGCAGGAAGAGGUGCGUUCUCCACCGACCGGCAGACAGACAGAUAGAAGAGCUAUACAGAUAUAUUUACUGCAUUGUGUGUGUGUCUCACAAGUAGUAGUAUUUGCUGAAUCAGCCUCCUUCCAGCCUCCAGCGGCAGCUUAUUCACACAAUCACACAUUGCUGCUUCAGAUUCACACAGCAUCAUCAGUUACAAUUUUUUAGCCUGGUUCUGCACUGCUGCAUGUUACUAACGUAGGUCAUGUAAACAUUACGGUACUAUGUUAAGCAUAAGCCUGAACAGAGUUAGGUGCUACACAAACAGCUGUCCAAUCACAGGAACCCAGGAUAAAAAGAAGUGGUCAAAGGGAGAAGAGGACUGAAGCAGAGCUGUGUCCUAAGCAUUCAGAAGACAUAUGCUGAUGCUAGAAUUAUGUACUUUAAGACUUCUAGAGCUCAGCCACUUUAAUCUUGGUGCACCCAUCAUAAAAUUAAUAGCAUCUCAUGACAUUUACUGAGAAACUACAUCUACAACAAAGUUACAUUUUCUUAGUUUGUAGGCAGAUGAUUUCUUACUACUAUACUAGGAGUGGCCACAGGUGAAGCUAACUGAAUUGAUCUCUUUGGUUCAUUAAAUGUUUCUAUUCAGAACAUAAACCUUUUCAGAAAUGACCUGGACAGCCUGAGCUACCAGAGUCAGUGUUGCUUUCCGUGUUAUGCUUUGACCAAACCAGUUGUUCAGUCAACAAAUUCCUCUGUCAACAGGGUCCAGCCUUCACAAAAUGCUGCCCUCGGGUCUGAUCAGCAGGUAAACAAACCCAAAACAGUAUCAAAGGCAGUGCAGUGCAUGCUUCUAGCUGUUCUACGCUUUAUAUAGCAAGAAGCCCAGCUUGUCUAAGUAAUUUAAGUCUAUUACGAUUUGAUGCAGACAAAAUUGUCUUGGAGCAAGUUCAACCAUUUUAUGCCAAGACUAACUGGUUAAUGAUGUAGCAUUAAAGUGCCUAGUAAAACUACAACUCAGAAUGUUAUGGAGAAAAGGCUGCAUGUAACAUUCUCUCUUUGGUUAAGUUGUUUGAGAAAUACAUUUAAAAUACAGUGUCCACUGUUUUAUGUUAUAAAUGCAGUUUAGACAGAAAAAGAUGCAGUUCUAAAAAUGUGUAAAAAUAUGAAAACUGUUUAUUGGAAAGAAAUCCAGACGCAGACAGUUUUUAAGUUAAAAUUUUAUCUUACAAUGUCAUGCACCCUACAAACCACGGCCCAUGGUUCCCUGGUCUGCUCAGGAUGGCCAUGAUGGAAGACUUAGAUGAGCGAUGGCUCUAAAGUGAAGAAACCCACAAGUAAAAACAUCUCUGCCCUUUGUCCCUCCCUGUCUAUCACCCCGGUGGCUAGACUUGUGUUAUAGUAACCUCCACAUCAAAGUGCCUCAAUAAGUCAGGAGGUCUGGAGAAGGGCACAAAUGUAAAUUUGACCCAAAAAACAUGGAAUAUGCGAUUGGUUCGCAAAGGUGUAACUGAACAGCCAAAGAAAUUAUGCAGAAGGAUUCUGAACAGUCUCAAGUUGGACUGGACUGGACAAUGGGGCACUGGCAACAGCUUGUAGGACAGGAGAAGGACACUGCGAAGGCUGUGAAGGUUCCUUUAUAGUGGCACUGAUUGAGGCUGGUGAAAACCUCAGUACUCAGAACCAUUCAUGAGCUUCAUAGCUAACUUUUAUGUGCAUGAAAGUCUCAGUGUUGACCUGAAAUAAUUAGAGUCUGGUAUUCUUUUAAUCUAGAUCUUUUAAUCUAGAUCUGUGUAGUAAUAAACUUACGUAUUAAUUGGUGGAGUUUGGAUUGGCUCUAAAAUGUCCAUGUUGAUGUUUUGAAUGAGUUAAUUAUUGGAGUUGAGUUUGUAGUGGUUCGGUGGCCUAAUGGAGCAUUAGACCCAGGUUAGGUUAGUUUUUGCGCACAGGAGCUCGGCAACAUGCAUGCAACAUCAAUUUCUUUUGGCUAGCAAAACCCUCCCCACAAAAAAGUAGCAGCUAAGAGGAUUAAGAGCAGCCAGUCAGUUGCUAAGCACAAAUUGAUGUAGUUCAAGCUGCAGAUUCUCUCAUCUAAAAAAGGAGGAAAAGUAGUGGAACAGUCAAGACGCAGCAUCAUUAUCACUUGAGGCUCCAUCUUACAAAACACAAAUGUGUUCUGUGGCCUUCUAUCACCAGUUUUCCUAUGUUAUGCAUAGGACGUUACAAGUAUCUGGUCAUGUGUUCCACAUCCUCCUCCUUGAUGCUGAGAGGUGCUAGGGUUAAAAAGGACCAAAGGGGGUGGUCCGUGGAGUUGAUGGAACUGAUUUAGCUCCGCUCACCUCCCUGUCUUUGCCUUUGUCCCCUCUUCUAAAUGCAGCCCUUUCUCUGACCUUAGUUAACCAUUAUUCUGUUGUUGGUUAAUCUACCGAUGUUUUUAUAUAUAUUACAAUUAUAUAUAUACUAAUUACAUGAAAAUAUAUAAAAAUUGAUAUCAAUAUAUAUUUAUUUAAUUUUUUUCCAAUCGUCUUCUCAAACAAAAAUUAAAGUAUGCACUUCAGGGCAUUAUUUCCCAAACUAAGAUUUUAACUCAUGAAUGCUAUUUUAAAAACUUCGUAAUUCACAUUUAGUGCGGUUAAAACUGCUGCAGUUUACUGUUUAUGUGAACACGACUGUGUACUGUAUUAACAGCAUCCAGUAGUUUCCACUCAUUAUUCAAUAUUGUGAUCUUCCUUCAUUUGGCAGCUUGUAAGACCUUCCCUCACUCCUUUGUGGUAUGAAUUCACCCGACGCCAACACAAUGUGAUUGUCAGUUAGUGCUAUCAGCAGACCUACAGUACAUGUGAACUCUCAUUAAACAUGGAAGCACACUAGUAAACACAAAUGUCAGUCACGUGGUAGGAGUUGCUGGUGAUUUGACUAAUUUUCUGAGGCAAAAUUAAUCAUAUGUAUGAUACAUUUUAGAACACACACAAAUAUGGUAAAAACAAACUGUAGAGAAAUUGACUGUUCCUCUAAGCUGCUGUACAAACACACAAGCAUAAAUCAAGUAAAUAUAUAUUACAUAGUUCAACUAGAACAACAAACCCAAUAAAACUGAAUCUGAGUCAAAUCUGAGAAUAAUUUGCUGUGAGAGGCAAAGUGUGGGACUGGACCACAAAGCUACAGCCAGGGUGUGUCCUCUACUUAAUUAUGGGUUUAUCGCAGUUUUCUUGUCAAAAAAAUGCACUCAAAAGAUGUACACAAAUUCUGACCAUGCUAAUAUCUAAUAACUAAGUAAAGUGAUGUGCUGUUUUAACUAAGCUGAAUCUUCAUGCAGGACCUGAGGGGAGGUUUUGGUUAGACAUAGCAUUAAGUCUGAAAGAUCACCAAGAUCAACUUUACAUUAUUUUCAAAGUCAUCCUCCCUGAACUUUGUUUUUUCUUCCUAAAGAUAAAAUGAAGAAAAAAUUCAUACUUACCAUCCACCAUGUUUUUGCAGAGACAUCAUAGCAGAGUUGCCACUUUACUGAGCUGUCCGUCUCGUUGCAGCCUCCUUGUGGGGCUGACACUGCCAUCACAGCUGGAGAAGCAGAAUGUCAAACCAUAGCUUUGCAAAAAAGAUUCUGAAAAUCCAAGUGGUGAAAAGGCUUUUGUGCUGAUUGGCAGUUUGAUGCUUUGCUAUUUCCCAACUAAUACGACUGAAUAAAAGGGUCACACACUCCUUCUCCUCUUAAAUGAUGAAGCCAAGCCUUGCCAGGUAGAGAAUGAAAGUCCACAUCCACAGUCGACUCCAAUUAUGACUGCCUUCUACAGCAGGGCUUCCUACCACAGUGAUCCUGUUUUGUGCCGCUGAGAACUGACCAUCCUUGAUCCCACUCAGUUAGAUCUUCGACAUAUUACAGAGGACGUUUAGCUCAUGAGCUUCCAGUGUACUUUCUAUACAAGGUCCAGACCGUCCCAAUCAAGUUCGAGUUCAUCUGUGGAAAAAGCAUCAGCCACCAACAAACUGAGGCUGCCACCUUCGACAAAAAAAAAGUUCUGUGGGGAGCCUAAAACAUUCUCACACAAGAACCCUGCAUGAAAGCAUUCUAUGACUCUGUGGAUCACGUUCUCACUCACUGAGCACAGUAGAAGUGUUUUUACUCCAUUUUUCACAUUUUGCGUCUUUAUCCAAAAGAGACAGACACCCUCCUGUUCGGAAACCGUUCCUCUCGUUUCGUCAAGAGAAGGGACUCCUCCCUGCAAAUCCUGAACCACCCCCAGGAUGAUACCCAACCAAAACAUGACUUCUGCCAUUUUCCCCCUCUCACUCACUGGGAACAGACGAACAUGGCAGUGUCCAAGUCCUCCGAUAGAAAGUGUUCAGUUCUUGGGUGUUUCAACAAAAACCAAAGUCUAUUCAAUGUACCAAGGGAUCAAUAAGUGUGGACUUUGUGGGUUACUUUUAUUUUAAACUGACCAGCGCCGGCAACACUGUAUCAUGGAUCAGCAUGUGGUCGUCACUGUUAUUUUCUACAUUGCUUUCCGGUUUUAUUUUGACACUUCUUGUUUGGUUUCCUGUCUGUUCUACUGUAGGUUCCGUUUUACCACUCAGUCAUAUGUUUCACCAGCUGUGUUAAGAUGUCACUAGUCACGUGAUUAUCAGCUGUUUUGUGUUAAUCAUUAGUCAUUCUCAUUCAUUUAACCCCAGUAUGCAACUCAUUCCUUUGUCAGAUUGUUUUGUGAGAACACCGUCAUGCCAUGUUUUUGUCGUCAGUCAAGUAAGCUCCUGUUUUUGCCCUUUGUACUUACCUGUGUUGCCCACUCCUUGUCGGUACCUCUGUCUGUGUUCAAUAUUUCUGGUGCCUGACCGUGAAAUGUUAUUUUUGCUUCUUGUUUUGACGGAGCUGUCUAUUAAACGAAUUACUUGACUGAGUUCCGUCUCUGGCUGUGCAUCUGGGUCCUGCAUCAUGACCGCGUCCUGCCUUAGCAUUUGUAUGUACGUGGACUUCAUUUCACCUUGCAUUGCUUCAAGAACGAGGGUGCUACAGUGCUGGAUUUGCUUCACGGCUCAGAUUAAAGAAAAGAUCUGUCCCUACAAUCCGUCAUCCACUCGCUGUAGCUGGCACAUCCCACCUCCUGAAAAACAAGGACGUUGCUUCUCAAACUGACACGCCACUGCAGGCUGUGGACACACAGCUACCUUGUAGAAGAGUUGUUGCUCAACUCAGGAGCAAAGACUAUGUGGAAAACCUGAUGGAGACCAUCUUCAAUAAAGUCCUGCUGGACCCAGGUCUUUAUAUGGAGGACCUUGUGAACAUCCCUGUCCCACUGGCCCUCUGAGCAGAAUUUGAGCAGCCUGACAGAAAGGAGACUGGUGUCAAUUAAAACAGCUGCAUCCUCCAUCUGUACAGCUGCUGCACUGCUUCUGAUCAAAACGUCUUCCAACACGUAAUGAGCACAACAAAGAUCCUCACAUCUCCCCAGCUAGCUGCCCAUGACUGUAUCUGUUUCACUCCAGAAACUAUGAUUUCAACAUAACUAUGAAUCCUACUGUACCUAUCCCGUGGUCUGUUUACCCUACUUCCUUUCAUAACUCCAUCAGGCUACUCCACCUGCGCAUUGAACUGUGAAGUACCUUUGUUUUGAUGAGGUGAUGGUGAAGACAGCCACAGCUUCCAUCUGGUAAAGGACUGCUUCUGCUCAGCCUUCCAAAUAGUGAUGAGAACAAGCAUCACCACAUCUCCCCAGUCAUCUGUCUACAACUAUACCUGUCCUGCUGCAGAAACAAAUCUCCAACAUAACCAAGUGUACCCCCUACCCAGGACAUGGUCUGUUUACCCUACUUCCAUUAAGCAUUUCAUGUGCAAGGCCCAGCAAAAGCUUCUGUCCUCAAACCGCCAGACUUCUCAACUCACUCAGUAACUUAUACAUUGCACACUGGAGUACUGGUGCAUUUUCUGGUUAAUAAUAAACUUGGCGUUGACUAUUACAUCUGUUUUUAUGAUAGGAAAACACUUUCAUUUAGGAAAUCAUAGUAUUGAAAUUACAUGUUUUUCUCUUUCUGAUAUGGUAAGCUAUAAAUGUGGUUCACAAAAAACACAUUUCUAGUCAAAUAGUAAAUGAGUUUUCCCACAGGUGGUCAAAUCCAACAUACACUAAGUGCUUUAUCCAUCAGGAAACUCUGCCUUGAUCUACACACCACGCAUGAAGAGAUGGCAACUCCAAUUCUAGUAGUCGCCUUGCAAAUUAUAUAAAUCAAAUAGCCUACCAGACCAGCUGGCCUGUGAGUCCUUUAGUGGGUCUUUUUCUUCUGUGGAGGAUUGCAGUGGAUUGCAUCCUCCAUGUCACACUACUGGCACCUAUCUUAUCCUAACCCUGCGGCGCCUAAAAAAACAACAAAAAAGGUAUGCGCUUCCACAUAGAGGUGUGGUGAGCAGCCUCACUUGCGACUGUCACAGCCUGGACCCACUUCCUGUUUUAUUUUCUUGUACUUCCGGUUUUGUGUUGUCACUUUUAGUUUAGCUUUACUUUGCAGUUACAUGAUCUCACCAGCUGUUUUCCAUCAAUCAUGACUCACCUAGUAUUUAAGCACUAUGUCUUGCCGUGUCUGCGUUUGCAUGACCAGCAUUCGAGCGUUACCUUUGUGUUCAGUCCCGUGUAUGAUCCAGUUUUGUUCCAGUCGUUUUUGUCUCUUGUCCAGCCUCUGAUAAUAGUGAGCUGUGAGUUUGACCAUUGCCUGUUUUUGAACUUGCUUUUGCCUUCUCCCUGUCGGACCUUGUUUUUGCCUGCAUCGUGUAUGCAUAUAAUAUUCUUUAACAUAAAAAGUAUGAUCAGUCUCUUUUAAGAAGGUUCUAGGAAGCAGGACUAAACUUGGGGUUGUUCCUGGGCUAUAGGAGGAGGAGGGUCGUCCUUGGCCUAUGGAGAACUAGUGUGAAAGUCUGUAUAUAACAUGUUUCUGAGCGAGAGAUACAUACACAAUACAUGUGACAUGCUUAUGGUAAGCCUACAAUGACUUAAAGCAGGGGCUGGAGGAUGGUGAGCCAGGCCCCUACAAAAACAAAUCCCUAAAAGAGCAUCUAGUUCAAUUUCUACCUGUAAUUUUAAGAAACUGCAUUUUUUCCCAUUGUCCUGUUCUGUCUUUUAUUUAUUUCUUAUUGCCUGACACCCCAAGGCUCCAACUUAAGGUAAAUCUCCUCAUAAUUAAUAGCAACAAGCCUCCCAUGUAUAUAUUUUAGUAGCGUUUGGGCCAGGGGUCGGCAAUCCAAAACACACCUUUGACCCCUUUUUUCCACAAAAAAACACUGAUUGGUGCAAAAUGGUGAUUGUAGUGACAGGUUGAUGUGGCUGCUACUGUCCAGAAAAACAUCUAUGUAUGUCAUAUCUUUUGUAUGAUGUUAGAUCAGUGGUGAGCUCUCAGUGGUGCGGUCUUUAAGGUUGUGAGUGUAAUGUUAUUUUGCUGCAGUGACAGUUAAUUUCACAAUAUUUGAGAACAUUCAAUAUUUGGGUUUAAACCCAAACAAGACUCGAAAGACAGGAUGCAGAGGUUUAAAAUUAAGUAAUUUUUUGACAGAAAACCAUAGCAAUAAACAGCAGACUUAUUCAGUUCUCAUUCUUUUAGCUACUUCCAGAACUAGAAUACAAUCAAACUGUCAGAUUCCGCCUUGUAAAACUUGUAAGACUUUUUUGAUUGUGCACACAUGACAAAACAUUGCCAAGGCAUCGACAAGGACAGCUUACUCGUUUUUCUCUGUUUCAAAUAGCCGCCAUAACUAAGAGCAACCAGUGCACAUUCAAAAGUCGGUUUUCUAAGCCACGCUGAGCCGCAGUAUAAGGAUUUAAGAACCGCAUGUGGCUCCUGAGCUAAACCACAGUCUAGCACUGUCUGUUUUUGUAUAUGGACAAAAGUGUGUUAAUAUGCAACAGUCUAAAGUUUUGUUCACUUCCCAUAAUUUAAAGUUGAGCCCAGUGGAAUUAACCGUGUCCAUGGUUGCUCUGUUAUUGGUGUAACUAUCACUGUGGUGAAUGAUACAAUACUAUAAGUUACUAUAGAAAAGUGCCGCUCAUUUGUUGGUAAUAGUUUUAAUGAUACCCUCACCAAACUAAUGACUAACAUCUCUGUGAAACAGAAUUUUACCAAAAAAUGUGUAUUACUACACAUGCGUUUUACUACAUAAGGUUUCAGUCAAGUUUUAUAAUGUUGCCAGAAGAUUGGUUGGGAAGUAUAAAUUACUAUGUACACACAUUCACUUCAGGCACUGCAGACAUUCUGUUCCCCAAAGAAAACUGUUUAAGAACAGGAAGAAAAAACAAUAAGAUGGUUAGGAUACUUCCUUAAACUUCUUUCAACCACGACUGCAGUCAUUAACUAGGACUCAUUUACAGCACAAUCAUUUUUUGAGCGAAACCCAUAUUUUCUGUUUAAAUCUAACACAACAUAGAUCUUGUAACUAUUUGGAAAGCUAUGCAAACGUUUUAGUCCUGUAAAUGAAAUAAUUUUCUUCAUCAUCUCAUUCAAUUCAUCUCUAACCUCAGCAGGGAAGCCUUGUGUGGAGGAGCCAUAUUGUUGUAGGGUGUGGUGGCUGUGUGGUCAGGUUAGUGUCUGUGUCAGCCCACAGAGCUACAGACUUACGGUUAAGUUACUGCUGAAGUCUCUGGAUAAGACCAACCACAGUCCACUGUGGAGAAGGUCAAGACUCUUGCACUAAAUGUCAAACUGCUUUUUUGGGUUUUAACUUGCAUGAGUAGUUAUAGUAUGGGUAUAGUACGACUUUGCCUACUGAACAUAAUAUCUGUAAAACUGAUCUAAAGGGUUUAGCAACUACAGACGGCUCGCCUCUCACUCCACAUAGGCACAGAAACAAAAACAGAACAAUGUAAUUAGUAGUCCUAUCAGUCAACUCCUUGUCACUGCCCCCUCAGUUAAUUAGCCAAUUAACCUCCCUCAAAUGUGUAAACACACAGCCAAUCAGGCUUAAACACAGCAGCUCCUAGCCAAUCCCAGCGUUGAUGUAGAAAACAACACAGAUAAUUAUAGGACAGAAAACACACACACAUUUCAUUACACAGACCCGAACUAAAGCCGUUCCUUCAUUGAGUGGCUUUACAUCUGCUCAAAUGUUUGUGGUGUUUCUUCAGCUCUGCUCCCAUAGUCACAACAUGAGCCUUAAAGCUGCCUGAAUGUCUGUUAUAUAUAGUUACCAGAGCAUAGAUAAUAUGUUGAUUAGCUUGAUGUAGUAACGUCAGUAAACAGCCGUGGCUGUAUGGGCAUGUGGGCACUAAAACAAUCACAGUUAGCUUGUGUUUUCUGAGUGAUUUCACAAGUUGGAUCUGUAGCAUUGAAUAUACAAUGAACCUCAGCAACCCCACCAAGUCAUCCAACCCAGGACCUUCUCGCUGUGAGGCGACAGUGCUACCCACCGCACCACCGUGCCGCCCUUCUAAUUCAUAGGUUUCAUAUUUUUCAAGUUAUUAAGCUUUUUUUUCACUAAUUUUUUCCCAUUGAAAUUAAUGGAAACAACUUUUCAAAUCCUCUUCAGCCUUGUUAUCUGUCAGCUUUAACUACUUCCACACACUUUCUGUCUAUGCCUGUACUGACCCCCGCCCAGCACACAACUCUUUACAGGACUACUGAGGCCACCAGAGUGUCAUAAAAAGUCCUUAGCAGUUGUCUGCACACUGUCUGAGGAUCCUGGAGCUGAUGUUAUCAGGACCUGUGGCUUUCCUGGCCUUUGUUUUCCCUAACUCCCUCCUGACCUGGUUCAGUGUGAGGCAGAGGGGGGUGGGUAGUGGCUGGUCAGGAGCUGUGGGUUGUUGGGGGGGUCCCAUUGUUGUGGUCAGAGGAAAGGCAGAGUGAACUGUGAAAGAUUGUGGCCACAGUCGUGAUUUCAAAAUGUCAUACGCCUUCAUACUUCUUUGAAAAAGUCCAAAAGACAAAUGCAUUAGACUCUAUGGGAGAAUGUAAAGAUGUUAAAAAGCUGAAAGAAUAAUAAUAGUGAAUGAAUAAGAUAAAUAGUUCAAGAUUGUUUUGCAGUUUAAAUGGUGUCUGUAGCUUAAAGUAUGCUGAAGCUGAACAAAAACAAAGCUAUAGAGUAUUUGAAAAGUUGUUUCUAUUCAUUUUAAUGUGAGAAAAAAACCUAAUAAUUUGAAGAAUAUAAAAGAUACUAAUAAGAAAAAUACAAGCACCCCUUUCCUUAGGAAGCUAAAUAUUUUGAUUGUUGAAUGGUUUCUAUAGCUGAAAGUAUGUAUCUAAUCAUGACGCACGUUUAGAAUGUUGAACGACAAUGCUUUUACGAUGAAGCGUUGAGAAGAAAGAAAGAAGAAGAAAGCAACCAAAAAACGGGACAGAAUAAGUAUAAUAACUAGAAAGAGUAAUUUCUCAGAAAUUAUGUGGGAGAGCUGAUCUGCUGCCACAAUAAUGACAAGCGCUAAUUAAGCUGCUGGUGUCAAAACACUGACUACAACAAAACAAUAAAAACGACAAAAUGCAAUAAUUAAAAAGAUGACAAAAAACUUAAAGAUAAACCAAAACAAAACAGUGACAAUGAUUAAAAGGUUAAUAAACAAUAAGAUUUCGCAAAGAAUAAAAAGCUGACAAAAAUUAAAAUGGGACAUCAUUGACAAUGACAAAAAGCUUACUAAGCUUUCAUUUUGAAAGGAUGUGUAUGCGUGCUAAAUAGCUAUACUGUAAAGUAGUCUUAAUAAUUAGUCAUAAUUAACCAGUUGGAACCAAAGAUUUUCCUAAUAGAGCUAAUAAACUUAAUUUGUUUAUUUAUUUUGAAAGGAUAUGGAGGGGUGUGUUUGUUUAAGGGGUGUUUUUUAAACUGUAAAAAUAGUCUCAUUACCUAUUACAGUACCAGCCGCUUUCAUGUAGACUGAAAACUCUUCAAAGCAUUUUACUUUACAUUCCAAUUAUUUUGUCAUUCACAUGCAAAUGCAGCACCUAGCUCUCUUUUGCUUUAAAGUGUUUUGUGUCUACAUUAAAGCGGGUAGAACGACAUCCGUGAGUGUGUCACGGCUAAAAGAAGCUGGUCAACUUCAUAGGAACAUGGCUGUCAUGGUGCGAUGACUUUUAUGUGGAACUUGUUUUUUUAGUUUUUGUAUUGUUUAUGUCUUUUAUUGCUUCCUUCAGUGAGACCGCUAGGCCCGUGUACCUUUGGUUCAAUUGAUUUUUAUUUUAAAUCAAAAAUUUAAUUGAAAAAACAAACCAUUUUUCUCAUUUUAUUUUGAAUAUGGUAAUGAAAAAACAAGUAAAGCUACUUUUUCUGACAAUUCGUUUCAUUUAGGAAUCAAAAUAUUACAUUUUAAAAAACUAUCUUCGAGUUGUAUGUUUAAGAUUUAUUGAAUCACGAGAGUCAGAAGAUGAUCUGCUAUUAGCACUUCUUCUGCGGUCAAAAAAUGAGGGACAGAGACAUGGAGAGUCAUGUUAUAUUUGGUGGAAAUAAACAUGUGAGGAAAGGAGCAAACUACAACCCACGGCCUACACAGGGUCCGUUUAUCAGCUGCUGAGGGGGAACCAAUGCAGCGUCUGCCAGGCUUAACGAGCUCAGUGAUGUUCAGCCUUUCAAGCAGGAGCAGGGUCAUCGAGCCCACGCAGUCAAAUCCAGAAACGUUGCUAUAAAGGUUAAAGUUUUACAUUGAUUCUUUUAUUCUUAUUAGCAGCCAAUAACCAACCAGAGGUAUAAAAGUGACAAAUAAAGUUAGAAAAAUUGAAUUAGUGCUUUUAUUUUUUAAAAGUCCAUGCACACGUUUUUUUCAUGCUCCACAAAGCUAAAGAAUUGGACCUUGAUGUCUCAGUAAGGUGUCUGUAACGUUUCAUGCCAAAAAGCGCUGUAGAUCGGCCACACGGCCCGUCUGAAAAUGUGUGUUUUAAGCUCUCGUCCACAACGCUCUUUUUUCGGAGUGUGUCGCAAGCAAAGUUGAUCGCCACACCCCUUCAAGGAAGUGCAUAGCCGUGAUCCGCCAUGGGAAUCAAACGUCACGAUCACUGAAUCCACCGGAACGACGAAACUGGCUACCUCGUCCUCGUAGUGGAGUUCAACCAUACAUUUGAUCCAAAAUCUGACUCUGAAGUCGAAUCGGAGGCUGUUGAGGUGAUUACACCUCGACUGGCCCAAGGUAUGUGUCAUGAACUCCAGGAAUGCCCCAAAUGCACAGCGUGACUUGAGUAAAACGGCAGUUUAAUGAGUUCGUGGUCAGGCAGGCAGAUGUCAUACACGAUGCAGGCAAAACUAGAUCCGACAGGGAGUAGGCAAAAGCAAGGUUAAAAAACAGGCGAUGGUCAAACUUACGGCUCAGGACUGUCAGAGGCUGGGCUAGAACAAGGUAAGGUAACAAGGCUAGGUCAUACAUGAUCACAAGAUACAAGAAUGCUGGAAUUCUGGUCAAGACAACGCAGACAAUCUGGCAAGGUGCUAUGGUGACAGGUGGUGCUUAAAUACAGGUGAGUAGAGUACUAUUGAGACACAGGUGAGGUUAACGAAGAAAGGAAGUAAAACUAGAUUAGCUGGGUAUGAGUGCCGGGCAGAAAGUGGAACCAAAAUAAAACCGGAAAUGAGUAAAACAGUGGGCUGGGCUGUGACAGUAUGUAUAACUGGCAUUUCACAUUUAAUUUAAUUUAUUGAUUUAUAUACUAUGCAACUUGAUUAGCUGCUAACGCUAAUACUAAUGUUUGCCAAUGAGCAGCCUGAAUUAAUACAACAGAAUAUUCACAACACAACUACAGCCUGUUUGGGAGCAUAGCUUGAUAAAAUAAUAUAAACUCAUUUUUACAUGUUUUUUCUUUCUCGUGCUGCUGCUGUGUCAAAACAAUUUUUCCAUAAAGGGGUCUUCAGCUGUAGCUUAUAUUUUGCCGUAUUUGUCUGUGAUUAAUUGCCAAUGUGGGAACGGAAGAUAUUGCAUGUGUUUAUUACUUUUAUUAAUUAAUUAAAUUAAAAUUUCGAUUUAGUUUUUGUGGCAAUAACUCAAUAAAAGUUGAAAUAUUAUAAAACAUUUGUCUUUGUCAAACUGACACUUUACUGCAGGCUGUGGGCACACGGCUAUCUGUUGCUCAACUCAGGAGCAAAGGUAUGUACAUUUAAUAGCAGUAUGAUAG
This is a long non-coding RNA of Betta splendens (Siamese fighting fish), 13330 nucleotides long. RefSeq lists it as uncharacterized. The transcript is spliced from 6 exons. NCBI's taxonomy places the organism in Eukaryota, Metazoa, Chordata, Actinopteri, Anabantiformes, Osphronemidae. The record is from RefSeq and is a predicted model, not a curated record.